UACGAAGGGUGCAAGCGUUACUCGGAAUUACUGGGCGUAAAGCGUGCGUAGGCGGUUUGUUAAGUCCGCUGUGAAAGCCCUGGGCUCAACCUGGGAAUUGCAGUGGAUACUGGCAAGCUAGAGUGCGGUAGAGGAUGGUGGAAUUCCUGGUGUAGCGGUGGAAUGCGCAGAUAUCAGGAGGAACACCAAUAGCGAAGGCAGCUCGCUGGGACGGUACUGACGCUAAGGCGCGAAAGCGUGGGGAGCGAACAGG
This 253-nucleotide ribosomal RNA is filed under the name uncultured bacterium. RNAcentral describes it as "partial 16S ribosomal RNA". It matches the Rfam family "Bacterial small subunit ribosomal RNA", at positions 524 to 776 of the family's 1533-position model. The record is from RNAcentral.